AUACAUGCAAGUCGAGCGAGGCAGCAAUGCCGAGCGGCGAACGGGUGAGUAACGCGUAAGCAAGUCUGGCCCCAUAUCAGGAAAUACCCGUGCCAACGCGCGGUUAAUGUCCAGGAGAGUGGCCCUCUGCAUGGAGGGUUGACUAGAGAUUUAUCGGGUAUGGGAUGAGCUUGCGUCCGAUUAGCUAGUUGGCGGGGCAACGGCCCACCAAGGCGACGAUCGGUAGCCGGCCUGAGAGGGUGAUCGGCCACAUUGGGGACUGAGAUACGGCCCAGACUCCUACGGGAGGCCAGCAGUAGGGAAUAUUGCACAAUGGGGGAAACCCUGAUGCAGCAACGCCACGUGUGGGAAGAAGCAUUUCGGUGUGUAAACCACUGUCAUGAGGGAAUAAGGCCCGCCUUACGGGCGGGAUUGAAUGUACCUUGAGAGGAAGCACCGGCAAACUUCGUGCCAGCAGCGGC
Molecule: ribosomal RNA, 461 nt
Filed under: uncultured bacterium
Lineage: Bacteria
Description: bacterial SSU rRNA
Rfam family: Bacterial small subunit ribosomal RNA
Source: RNAcentral